This 505-nucleotide ribosomal RNA is filed under the name uncultured bacterium. RNAcentral describes it as "partial 16S ribosomal RNA". It matches the Rfam family "Bacterial small subunit ribosomal RNA", at positions 29 to 523 of the family's 1533-position model. The record is from RNAcentral.
GUGAACGCUGGCGGUAGGCCUAACACAUGCAAGUCGAACGGCAGCACAGAGGAGCUUGCUCCUUGGGUGGCGAGUGGCGGACGGGUGAGGAAUACAUCGGAAUCUACUCUUUCGUGGGGGAUAACGUAGGGAAACUUACGCUAAUACCGCAUACGACCUCCGGGUGAAAGCAGGGGACCUUCGGGCCUUGCGCGAUUGAAUGAGCCGAUGUCGGAUUAGCUAGUUGGCGGGGUAAAGGCCCACCAAGGCGACGAUCCGUAGCUGGUCGGAGAGGAUGAUCAGCCACACUGGAACUGAGACACGGUCCAGACUCCUACGGGAGGCAGCAGUGGGGAAUAUUGGACAAUGGGCGCAAGCCUGAUCCAGCCAUACCGCGUGGGUGAAGAAGGCCUUCGGGUUGUAAAGCCCUUUUGUUGGGAAAGAAAAGUAGUCGGUUAAUACCCGAUUGUUCUGACGGUACCCAAAGAAUAAGCACCGGCUAACUUCGUGCCAGCCGCCGCCGUAA